UACGUAGGGUGCGAGCGUUAGUCGGAAUUACUGGGCGUAAAGCGUGCGCAGGCGGUUGUGCAAGACCGAUGUGAAAUCCCCGGGCUUAACCUGGGAAUGGCAUUGGUGACUGCACGGCUAGAGUGUGUCAGAGGGGGGUAGAAUUCCACGUGUAGCAGUGAAAUGCGUAGAGAUGUGGAGGAAUACCGAUGGCGAAGGCAGCCCCCUGGGAUAACACUGACGCUCAUGCACGAAAGCGUGGGGAGCAAACAGG
Molecule: ribosomal RNA, 253 nt
Filed under: uncultured bacterium
Lineage: Bacteria
Description: partial 16S ribosomal RNA
Rfam family: Bacterial small subunit ribosomal RNA
Source: RNAcentral